AAUUACAAGGCACUUACAGAAUGCUCAGCUUGUUCCAGGAUAUUUUUUGUUAGUGGCUGGUGUACAAACAAGAGAUAGAAUGACAGAUGCCAUCUAUAUGUUUUACAGAAACGCCUCUUGCUUGUGCAUGUGUAAACAGAGUCAGGUUUGACAAAAUGCAAAGAGAUGUCUUAUAGAUGGCGCCUGUGAGGAAGACGGGUCUCCUCAAGCUGAUGAGGCUGUAAAAGCAGUUGUCAUGAGUAUGUGCAAGUCUGCCACACCUGUUCUUCAAGGAAAUUCCCACUGGAAAAUAUGAAUCUUCAGAAUCAGAGACCAAGGCUAGCUGAGCUGAGUUCAGUUUUCCAUUAGUUCAAGAGAGACUGUGACCACCAAAAUGGCUUUUUGUGAGUCUUUCUGAGACUUUUCUAUUUCUCCUGGCUCUGUGUUAUUUGUGGUUAAAGUUGAAGAUUAAAAUCCUCUUACUUGGUCCUUGAAGAAAUAACCAUGAUUAAUCUUAUAGCAUUAAAUUCAUUGGUGAUGUGUUUUGAAGGGAAUAAACUCCUGCAAAAAUAAACUGCAAAAAGGCUUGGAUAUACAGAAUUUCGAUGCUUCAAAUGAUGUAAUUUUCUAUAAUAUUUAGCCUGCCAUUUUUAGUUUGGUAUUUGUAUAAUAGGAGAUUUCGAAGAAAAAGCUAAAGAGAGGCUAAUUUGCUUGGUACUGCUUCUGUUCUUUUGUUCUUUUAGAAUCUAAAAUUAACCAACAUCUGCAGUGUCAACAGGGACUCCAUAUGGCAUUCAAGUUUGUACUUUUCCUAAAUAAUGCAUUUGAAGCAAUGUAAUCUGAGAGGAAUUCUGAGGUGAUAAUGAAUAGACUGCCUUAUAUUGUAUAGCACUUGAUAGUUUCAAAAUGAUUUAACAACUAGGACUUUAUUUGAUCUUCAUAACAAUGUUAGGAGGAAACAAGAUCAGGUAUUUCUUAUUCUUGUCAAACAGAUGAGAAGAUAGAAGUCCAAAAUAUGGAAGAGAGAUGACCACAGUCACAAAUCUGAUACCUUUGCAAUGGCUUUUGGGGGCCUGUGCACUCUCAAGAAACUGAUGCCUCCUGUGUGAAGAUGUAGAGAGCCUGGAAGAAUGGAACAUAUCAUGACUAAUCUCUGAAUACCUCACCCUGGAGGGAGUUGUUCUUGCUUUCACAAAUAAUUCAGUGCUUCAGUUGAUCAACACAUUUAAAGGAAGUUUCCAAACAUGUCUGAAACUCUAGGUGCGGAGACUUUAGUGCCAAUUAACAAGGGCAGUUCAGAACAGAACACAACAGAGGUAGGAAAUGAGGAAAGUGAAGAAGCAGUGUGAUAGAGUAGAGAGAGCCAGCUCUGUCAGCAGCUAGCUGUAUGCCUUUGGUGAUUAUGCCCGCACCUCAGUUUUCCCAACUCUAAAACGAAAGGAACUUGGUGAGAAAAGCACAUUUACGGUGUCUCCCUGUAUGCUCUCCCUGACAUUGAAUUCCCUGCGGACAUGCGGCUGCCAGCCCUCCUCGUCAUGCUUUCCCUUGCCAGCCCUUUCUGGCCUCCACAGUUUUUCACUAGGGAUGUUUUAUUGAGAAAGACUGGUGGCACCUGGCACAAUAUCAUAUGCUGUCUCCCAGAUUCCUGAAUAAUUUCUUCUAGGUUGGAAAGGAGUCUCUUUCAUUUUCAAAUACCUGUAUCUAAUGUCAGCCUUGCCCUGAGGAGCAACACCACAGAGUUGGAGGGUGGAAUCUUUAGUUAGCUUCUCUGAGGCCAUGUGCUAAUAAAACAAACAAACAAAAUAAAAUUUAACAAAUCUUUUGUG
Long non-coding RNA from Bubalus bubalis (water buffalo), 1805 nucleotides. RefSeq lists it as uncharacterized. NCBI's taxonomy places the organism in Eukaryota, Metazoa, Chordata, Mammalia, Artiodactyla, Bovidae. The transcript has 2 exons. The record is from RefSeq and is a predicted model, not a curated record.